AUACGGAGGGUGCAAGCGUUACUCGGAAUCACUGGGCGUAAAGCGCGCGCAGGCGGCUUGAUAAGUUGGAUGUGAAAGCCUACGGCUCAACCGUAGAACUGCAUCCAAAACUGUCAGGCUAGAGUGUGGGAGAGGAAGAUGGAAUUAGUUGUGUAGGGGUAAAAUCCGUAGAGAUAACUAGGAAUACCAAAAGCGAAGGCAAUCUUCUGGAACACUACUGACGCUGAGGCGCGAAGGCGUGGGGAGCAAACAGAAUUAGAAACCCCAGUAGUCC
This 274-nucleotide ribosomal RNA is filed under the name uncultured bacterium. Its description in RNAcentral is "partial 16S ribosomal RNA". It matches the Rfam family "Bacterial small subunit ribosomal RNA", at positions 523 to 796 of the family's 1533-position model. The record is from RNAcentral.